GUGAAUCAUCAAAUUUUUGAACGCAAAUUGCACUCUCCUCGGAGAGUAUGCCUGUUUGAGGGUCAGCCUAUAAAAAAUCGACAUCGUUGCUGUUUCACGGUGACGUUCGUCGGAAAUUGGGUCAUCUUAAAUCUUUUGGGUUUAAGCGACUUAAAAUUUUCUUUUUGAUUCCAUGAACGUGUUUCUAAUAUUUAUUUCUUUACGCGUUUGAUAUAGCUAUUUUUAUUACAUGUCACU
RNAcentral lists this unclassified non-coding RNA (237 nucleotides) under Glomeraceae sp. Its description in RNAcentral is "partial contains 5.8S ribosomal RNA and internal transcribed spacer 2". The stretch from base 1 to 65 matches the Rfam family "5.8S ribosomal RNA", at positions 84 to 154 of the family's 154-position model. The record is from RNAcentral. Lineage: Eukaryota; Fungi; Glomeromycota; Glomeromycetes; Glomerales; Glomeraceae.